Molecule: long non-coding RNA, 2468 nt
Filed under: Oryzias javanicus (javanese ricefish)
Lineage: Eukaryota; Metazoa; Chordata; Actinopteri; Beloniformes; Adrianichthyidae
Description: lncRNA (ENSOJAG00000003469.1)
Source: RNAcentral
AAACAUCGGGAAUUUUUUCACAGAAAAGCUGAAAAUAAACUUUACUGUUUUAUAUUGUGAUAUUAAAUAUUUCAUAUCGCCCAGCACUACAAAACAUUUACACACACAUUUGCUUUUAUUUAUUUAUUUUUUGGUUUUUAAAGGAAUAAGUGAUUCAAAAACACUUAUUUAAACUUUUUAUAUUAAUUAUCGGGCAAAUCUGUUGGAGAAAGUGCCACUAAGUCAAGUUUUCACCAGAUAAUAUUCCCAAUCUAAGAUCUGAUGAUAAAACUCUGAUGACCCAGCAUUCUAGAAGCAUUUAAACGCAUCAUUUACAGAUGAAUCUCUGAGCUGUGAAGAGUCUCAUGUUUUUUCUGUGCGUCUUAAGAGAUUUUAAAUAUUUGUGUGUACAUUUACUUUGUGAAUGUGUUAAUAUUUCUCUGAAUUUCAUCAUUUUGUUCCUCAUGAAGAAACAAAUCCAGAAUCAGAAUGGAGAACUGACCAGAAAAGUUGAAGCAUCAGUGACGUCACGAGGUCCAGUCCAGGGUUCCGUGCUCCAUCUGGACCGGGUUUCCACUGUUUAUCUCAUCAACUUUUUGCUGCAUAAACCUCUUUUCCUGUUGUAAUCCUCAAUAUCCACAAUAAACAUGAAGCAUAUAGUUUGAACAGAAGAUCUUCACGAUCUCCUCUGAGGGAACCGUCGUUCAUCUGGAAACUUCUCUUCACUUUAACCUAUUGAAGCGGAACUCGUUUAUGACCAGAACGACUGGAGGAAACCGCAGACUUCUACUCAGAAACGAGGGGGGGGUUGAUGCUCACAGGACCUGCGUGCAGCAAAGAAGACAACCCCCCCAUGCAGCACCUCCACCGCCGGAGAGGAACCUCGACGAGUGAAACCAGGUCAACCCACUGAUGGUCGACAGCUUGAAGAAAACUUUCCGUGUGAAGGUUUGCAGAAGCUUCCUGAAGCUCAGGCAAACGUGCUCGGCAGGCCUCUCCGUCUGAGGGGGGGGGUCAGACUCCGUCACACGGGGGGCCAAAAUCCAAAACACACCUGAGGACCAACAGGAGAAACAUUCAUGGAAGACUGUAAAACGGCGUUUCUAGAAGUUAAAACUGGAACUUCUGAACAGAAUAUCGACUGUAUAACAUUACCUGAUGAUGAUGAUGAUGUGUGAAUGCUGUUGGAUGAAGAUGCUAGUGCUGAUAGCAGCUAAUAUGUUAGCUAAAUGUCAAAUGAGCCUAAAAAAAAAUGAAAAGUCUAAAUUAGCCAAAACAGCUAGCAUGUAGCUAAACAUGAGCUAAAAAUGGAGCAGAAUAAAUAAUCAGAACAAUGAGAAAACAGAAAUUCUGAGAGUCCACGUCACAGACUGAACCAGUGUUACGAUGUCAGUACCAGCACCGGUUCUCCCUGACCCGACCCUGGUUCUCGAGUGGGAUUCAUCAGAACCCCUCUCUUCUGCCGUCAGGUCGAUGGAUCCAUCCAAAGAUUCCUUCAGCCUCUCAGACCGUCCCGUUCCAGGAACUAUCAGAACCUCAGCGGCAGAUCGACCAGGUCCAAACCCGGCAACUCUGGAGAGGAGCUGCUGAGGGAGGCAGAGUUGUUCUGCUGGUCAAGAAGAUCUGAUUCAGAGGGAAAAGGUUUGACCUCAAUGACAGCUCUGGGUCUGCAGAGGUGCAUGAUGGUCCGACGGUUCUGAACCCCAGAGGUGAACACAGACGGACGUUAGUGUCCUCCAUCUUCACCGGCAGCACACGCUCGCUCUCAGCUCGUCACGUGUCGCGUCCAGUACCGGUACCCUGACCCGGCACCGGACGCAGUACCGGGUGUGAGCCAGAACCUAGUCAGGGUUUGGGUCCCAGUGCACUCUGUGUCCGGUUCAGGCCCGGAGGACUCAUGGUUCAUAUCAAAUGACGAGUGCGGUACAACCAAAAGGUCCGUUUCUGACGUGGAGGGGUCCUCAACCAGACGUCAACAUGUGCCGGGUCGGGAUGAGGAAACCGGGCCGGCCUCCAUGUGACAUCAUUAACAUGCAGAAACUCGUGCUGGUUGUUGGGGAACUUCUCCAUCCGUCACAGACGUGUCCUCAGAAUCUUUCGGGCUCGGCGGUGCCGCACACUGACGGGUCUCUCAGCUUCUUCUGGAGCCUGAAGCUGAAACGGUUCUGAAACUGAAGCGGGUCAGACUCUGAUGCUGGACGCUCUCUGUUCACCAGCAGCUGAAGACAUGAGGAUAGAAAGAGGAAGGCAGGGGGCGGAGCGCAGAGAGAGUCACUGCAGAACCCCGGAGGUUCAGGAGGACAAAGGACGGAACCGGAGAACCCGCGGAUCCAGACGGGCUCGGGUUUGAGGUGUUGUCAGUGGAUCUGGGGAAUUUCAAAGGCAAUUUGAAGCUGUAGGACUCACAGCUGCUAUCCCCCCCUCCCCCUCCCCCCUGUGGACCCGCCCUCAUUGGCUGAGCAGGGACACGCCCCUCACUCUGCCCCUCC